RNAcentral lists this ribosomal RNA (392 nucleotides) under uncultured bacterium. RNAcentral describes it as "bacterial SSU rRNA". It matches the Rfam family "Bacterial small subunit ribosomal RNA", at positions 29 to 416 of the family's 1533-position model. The record is from RNAcentral.
AGUGAACGCUGGCGGCAGGCCUAACACAUGCAAGUCGAACGGCAGCACAGGGGUAGCAAUACCCUGGGUGGCGAGUGGCGGACGGGUGAGGAAUACGUCGGAAUCUGCCUAUUUGUGGGGGAUAACGUAGGGAAACUUACGCUAAUACCGCAUACGACCUACGGGUGAAAGCGGAGGACCUUCGGCUUCGCGCAGAUAGAUGAGCCGACGUCGGAUUAGCUAGUUGGCGGGGUAAAGGCCCACCAAGGCGACGAUCCGUAGCUGGUCUGAGAGGAUGAUCAGCCACACUGGAACUGAGACACGGUCCAGACUCCUACGGGAGGCAGCAGUGGGGAAUAUUGGACAAUAGGGCGCAAGCCUGAUCCAGCCAUGCCGCGUGUGUGAAGAAGGCC